UGGAUCACCUCCUAACAGGGAGACAACAAAAUGUUUUGAUAUAAAUUUUGUCACCUUAGGUCGAUCGGUAUCUCAGAUUUUCAUUUUUGGAAAUUUCAGUUUCUAAGUUCUUUCUAGGUCACCCAUUUUUUCCUGGGCCAUUAGCUCAGGUGGUUAGAGCGCACCCCUGAUAAGGGUGAGGUCCCUGGUUCAAGUCCAGGAUGGCCCAUAUCUCUAUAUUGGGGGUAUAGCUCAGUUGGUAGAGCGCCUGCUUUGCAAGCAGGAUGUCAGCGGUUCGAGUCCGCUUACCUCCACUGAAUACCACCUAUCCAAAGAGAAGGAAUAUUUGGGAUCGAUUCUAAUCUGAAUGAAUCUAGCUUCCUAUUAUUUAAAUCAAUUAAUAAGAUGCUGGACUCAAUGAAUUUUUUAAUUCUUUGUUUUCAGAGAACCUUGACAACUGCAUAGAUUUUUUUCAAGACAAUAAGCAUCUUUUAAGAUGCAGAUUUAUUAUUGGUGCUUAUGCAUUAAUAACAAUUCUAUUGAGCUGAUGCUUCAAUUUUUUGAAGUUAUUGGUCAAGCUACAAAGGGCUCUCGGAGGAUACCUAGGCACACAGAGGCGAUGAAGG
RNAcentral lists this transfer RNA (605 nucleotides) under uncultured Prochlorococcus sp. Its description in RNAcentral is "partial contains 16S ribosomal RNA, 16S-23S ribosomal RNA intergenic spacer, and 23S ribosomal RNA". The stretch from base 221 to 293 matches the Rfam family "tRNA". The record is from RNAcentral. Lineage: Bacteria; Bacillati; Cyanobacteriota; Cyanophyceae; Synechococcales; Prochlorococcaceae.